Molecule: ribosomal RNA, 243 nt
Filed under: uncultured Actinomycetales bacterium
Lineage: Bacteria; Bacillati; Actinomycetota; Actinomycetes; Actinomycetales
Description: partial 16S ribosomal RNA
Rfam family: Bacterial small subunit ribosomal RNA
Source: RNAcentral
GCUCGAGUGGCGAACGGGUGAGUAACACGUGAGUAACCUGCCCUUGACUUUGGGAUAACUUCAGGAAACUGGGGCUAAUACCGGAUAGGAGCUCCUGCUGCAUGGUGGGGGUUGGAAAGUUUCGGCGGUUGGGGAUGGACUCGCGGCUAUCAGCUUGUUGGUGGGGUAGUGGCUUACCAAGGCUUUGACGGGUAGCCGGCCUGAGAGGGUGACCGGCCACAUUGGGACUGAGAUACGGCCCAG